UAUGUGAUCGUCUCUCGCAUAUCAAUAAGCGGAGGAAAAGAAACUAACAAGGAUUCCCCUAGUAACGGCGAGUGAAGCGGGAAGAGCUCAAAUUUGAAAUCUUAAAGGGUUUCCCUUUACGAAUUGUAGUUUAAAGAAGUGUUUUCUGUUGAGGUUUUGGUAAAAGUUCUUUGGAAUAGGACAUCAUAGAGGGUGAGAAUCCCGUAUUUGACCUUUACUUUCAACUUUGUGAUACACCUUCAAAGAGUCGGAUUGUUUGGGAAUGCAGUCCAAAAUGGGUGGUAAAUUUCAUCUAAAGCUAAAUAUUGGCGAGAGACCGAUAGCGAACAAGUACCGUGAGGGAAAGAUGACAAGAACUUUGAAAAGAGAGUUAAACAGUACGUGAAAUUGUCAAAAGGGAAGCGUUUGACACCAGUGUUGUUUUUCUGAAAAUCAAUUAAAGAACUGUUUAUGCUAAGUUGUUUAGACUUUAUCAGCUAUCUGCUUAGUUUUGAGCUUUUCUUUAAUGCACUUUUCAGUUAACAAGUCAACAUCAAUUUCUAUUGCUGUAAAAAAGCUUGAGGAAGGUGGCUUGAGAUUCGUCUUAAGUGUUUAUAGCCUCUUGCCUAUGCAGUCGGAGAGAUUGAGGUCUGCAGCGUAGAUCCUUCGGGGCUAAAUGCAUUUGUGCUAAGUUAUAGCAUUUUAUAGACAACUUGUUGACUAUGAUUUGUCUUGUAGCUUACUCGCUUAUGUUAUUUUACCUACGCUUAGGAUGUUGACGAGACUGUCGAUCUCAUCUAUACAUGACUCUGCGCAUAUCAAUAAGCGGAGGAAAAGCUGUUACCUACGCUUAGGAUGUUGAUAUGCAUGACUGAUAU
Molecule: ribosomal RNA, 857 nt
Filed under: uncultured Neocallimastigales
Lineage: Eukaryota; Fungi; Neocallimastigomycota; Neocallimastigomycetes; Neocallimastigales
Description: partial large subunit ribosomal RNA
Rfam family: Eukaryotic large subunit ribosomal RNA
Source: RNAcentral